GUGUUUGUUCAGCAGCACAUAAACUGAGAUUGGAAUGAGACAGAGAAGAUUAGCAUAGUCCCUGCUCAAGGAUGACACACAAAUUUGUGAAGUGUUCCACAUUUUC
Molecule: small nuclear RNA, 106 nt
Filed under: Dasypus novemcinctus (nine-banded armadillo)
Lineage: Eukaryota; Metazoa; Chordata; Mammalia; Cingulata; Dasypodidae
Source: RNAcentral